CCUACGGGUGGCUGCAGUAGGGAAUAUUGCUCAAUGGGGGAAACCCUGAAGCAGCAACGCCGCGUGGAGGAUGAAGGUCUUCGGAUCGUAAACCUCUGUCAGCAGGGAAGAACGGUCACUGUGCUAAUCAGCAGUGAAUUGACGGUACCUGCAAAGGAAGCACCGGCUAACUCCGUGCCAGCAGCCGCGGUAAUACGGAGGGUGCGAGCGUUAAUCGGAAUUACUGGGCGUAAAGCGCUCGUAGGCGGUAUGUCAAGUCAAGGGUGAAAUCCCCGCGCUCAACGUGGGAACUGCCUUUGAAACUGGCAAACUUGAGUGUGUGAGAGGAUAGUGGAAUUCCAGGUGUAGGAGUGAAAUCCGUAGAUAUCUGGAGGAACAUCAGUGGCGAAGGCGACUAUCUGGCACAUAACUGACGCUGAGGAGCGAAAGCGUGGGUAGCAAACAGGAUUAGAUACCCCAGUAGUC
Molecule: ribosomal RNA, 465 nt
Filed under: uncultured bacterium
Lineage: Bacteria
Description: partial 16S ribosomal RNA
Rfam family: Bacterial small subunit ribosomal RNA
Source: RNAcentral